Molecule: ribosomal RNA, 447 nt
Filed under: uncultured bacterium
Lineage: Bacteria
Description: partial 16S ribosomal RNA
Rfam family: Bacterial small subunit ribosomal RNA
Source: RNAcentral
AACGAACGCUGGCGGCAGGCUUAACACAUGCAAGUCGAACGCACCGCAAGGUGAGUGGCAGACGGGUGAGUAACACGUGGGGAUCUGCCCAAUGGUACGGAAUAGCUCCGGGAAACUGGAAUUAAUACCGUAUGUGCCCUUCGGGGGAAGGAGUUAUCGCCAUUGGCUGAACCCGCGUCGUAUUAGCUAGUUGGGGUGGUAAAGGCGAACCAAGGCGACGAUCCGUAGCUGGGCUGAGAGGAUGAUCAGCCACACUGGAACUGAGACACGGCCCAGACUCCUACGGGAGGCAGCAGUGGGGAAUAUUGGACAAUGGGCGCAAGCCUGCUCCAGCCAGGCCGCGGGAGUGAUGAAGGCGCUAGGGUUGUAAAGCUCUUUCGCCGACGAAGAUAAUGACGGUAGUCGGAGAAGAAGCCCCGGCUAACUUCGUGCCAGCCGCCGCCGUAA